GAAAUGCGAUAAGUAAUCUGAAUUGCAGAAUUCAGUGAAUCAUCGAAUCUUUGAACGCACCUUGCGCUCCUUGGUAUUCCUUGGAGCAUGCCUGUUUGAGUAUCAUGAAAUCUUCAAAGUAAAUCUUUUGUUAACUCAAUUGGUUUCUACUUUGGUAUUGGAGGUCUUUGCAGCUUCACACCUGCUCCUCUUUGUUCAUUAGCUGGAUCUCAGUGUUAUGCUUGGUUCCACUCGGCGUGAUAAGUUAUCUAUCGCUGAGGACACUGUAAAAGGUGGCCAAGGUAAAUGCAGAUGAACCGCUUCUAAUAGUCCAUUGACUUGGACAAUACUUUUAUGAUCUGAUCUCAAAUCAGGUAGGACUACCCGCUGAACUUAAGC
Molecule: unclassified non-coding RNA, 378 nt
Filed under: plant metagenome
Description: partial contains 5.8S ribosomal RNA, internal transcribed spacer 2, and large subunit ribosomal RNA
Rfam family: 5.8S ribosomal RNA (bases 1-105)
Source: RNAcentral